This 2943-nucleotide long non-coding RNA is filed under the name Setaria italica (foxtail millet). RNAcentral's name for it is "long non-coding RNA (SITA_LNC002652)". The record is from RNAcentral. Lineage: Eukaryota; Viridiplantae; Streptophyta; Magnoliopsida; Poales; Poaceae.
UCCAUUUACCUCCAAAGCGCUUCCGCAGACCAUCCUCUUCUCCACUCCAAAGUGUCUUCUCAUUUCUCAGCGUGUGCUCCUCUGACUGCUCUAAUGGCCGAGCUUGUGGGCAGCAUGGUGGUCGGGCCACUGCUGUCCCUGGUGAAGGAGAAGGCGUCCAGCUACCUCCUGGACCAGUACAAGGUCAUGGAGGGCAUGGAGGAGCAGCAUGAGAACCUCAAGGUCAUGCUGCCGGCCAUCCUGUAGAAUGCACAUGGAAAGCCAUGAUGAUAUUAUUUUGUAUUACGGCUUUCGAUGCAACCAUUAAAUUAAAGGUUUGUUUGGCUCACCCGUCACAUCGAAUAUUUGAUACUAAUUAGGAGUAUUAAACAUAGGCUAAUUACAAAACUAAUUGCACAGAUGGAGUCUAAUUCGCGAGACGAAUCUAUUAAACCUAAUUAGUUCAUGAUUUGAUAAUGUGGUGCUACAGUAACUAUUUGCUAAUGAUGGAUUAAUUAGGCUUAAUAGAUUCGUCUCGCGAAUUACACUCCAUCUGUGCAAUUAGUUUUUUAAUUAGCUCAUGCUUAGUCCUCCUAACUAGCAUCCGAACAUUCGAUGUGACACCGCUAAAGUUUAGCACAUAGUAUCUGUCGUUGUCAAGAUUGGCGGAUCAAGACUUAGACUAGUAAAUUUCUUUUAUGCGCGUAAGGCUUCAGAUGGUGGCGUAGGAGACACGGGUUUAGACUGGUUCGGGCAAGGGAAGCCCUACGUCCAGUAUCGAGGAUACUCGUAUUGCCCACGCGAGGUUCUGUAGUAGGGGUUACAGAUCGACGAGAGAGGGACUGGUCCCAAGUCUCUUUGUGCUUGUGCUCUCAGGGAGCGUCGUAGUGUGCUGCGGCUUGUGGGAGAAGAAGCCGAUCCCUUUCUCCGGCCCCUGGUGCUCCCUUUUAUACCGUAAGGGGGCGGCCGGAGUUACAGCUGAGACCGAGCGAUUGAGAGUAGUAAGAGUGUGAACGUAGUACGGUAAAAAAUACAGCAAGAAGGGAGGAACCAAGUCCCUAGGCGCCCGGCGCCUUCGCCGGCCCCUGACGAGCGCCGGCAUGCAUGCUGGAGGAGGGGGGCGGCCGUGUGCCAACUGUCGUCGCGCCCUACGGAUAGCCCCUUCGGCGUCCGUAGGCGUCGGGUUAUGAUGAAGGUGUUUCGUCGUUACUUCGGUGUCCGUUGGGGUGGACGGCGGAUGCCACCAUCCUGAUGAUGGCUUCCGGAGAGAGGGCGUUACAUCCUCGCUGCCGGGCGCGCGGGACCCGAGGGCGCGUGGGGCCCAAGGACAGGCGAGUCUUUCCUCCGCUCCGGUCGGCGCAGGCCAUGAGUACCCUGCGGCGAAUGGAAGGGAGCCGCCAGCACUGUAGCUUGUACAGUGUGGUCGUGCAUGGGCACUUGCAGCGGGUUGCGUGAGGAGCACGGUCAUCCUUCCCCCUGCCAGGCCUGCGGCGCAUUUAUGACGAGGCCGACGAGGGGGACCCACGGGAUCGUUGUCUUGUCCACCGGAUCCGCAUCCGAGGGGGAUGUCCGUCCUGGGGGCCCAGUGAGUCCGACUCCCGUGCUCGGGGUCGGACGAGGCGCAACCUUGUGGCGAGGGGUCGGGCGCCCCCGAUCCCGGGGUCGCGGUCGGACGAGGCGGAGCCUUGCGGAGGGAGGUCGGAUGCCCCCGACCCCGGGACCGCGGUCGGGCGAGGCGGAGCCUCGUGGCGGGAGGUUGGACGUUCUCAACCUUGGGACCUAAGGUCGGGCGAGGCGGAGCUUUGAUUAUGCUGGGUGGUCCUGGGCCUUCGUCUUUGUUCUUUUAAGCGGUAUCUAGGAGAUCGUUAAUAUUUCCCUCCAACAGUAUCCAAACACCCCCUAAGUGCCCCAAGAAGGUCAGUGCUUGGUGUUGGUCUCCAUUCACCUCCAAAGCGCUUCCGCAUACCACCAUCCUCUUAGUACUAAUGAGGCCGACCUCGUGCGCGACGUGGCAGACCGUUAUUUCAACCGGUACUAAAGGAUCUUCCUUAGUACCGAAUUGUUAGUAAUGGUUGCACAACUGGUACUAGAGGGAGGUUAUGAAUCGGUAUUUUUCCAAGUAGUGCAAGUGUUUCAGUUUUUGGGCGGUCGAGCCUCGAGGUCAGCUCAAGUGGCUUGAUUUGUUAUUGUAGAAUGCACAUGGAUAGCCGUGAUGAUAUCGUAUAUUGGGAUUUAGAACUUGAAGACAAGAUGCCUCGCUGGCAUGCUGUUAACGUGAUUCGCCCUGGUUUGGAAUUUAUUAUGACAAGCAUUUGGACCAAUGAAUACUCUAUUAAUACGAUUUUAAUGUGAUACAAAAUAUAAUUAUAAGUAUUUUGUAAUACGGGUAAUCUAAUAAAAUCAAGUUUGUGUUCAAAAAAUAUAUAUAGUCGACUUAUCGAUCGGUGUCUCCAUGUUAUCUCGUCAGCUGGCUCUGAACGUCCAAAAAGAAUGCCAAUUGGUGAGCUGCUACAUGAGCGGAAAGCAAGUCGAUUUGUCAACUUCAGAUCUAGCAGCUAAAACAAUUAUUUUAGGCGAGCGCCAUUUUGUAUUACGGCUUUCGAUGCAACCAAUAAAUUAAGCGCCCCAAGAAGGUCAGUGUUUGGCGUUGGUCUCCAUUUACCUCCAAAGCGCUUCCGCAGACCAUCCUCUUCUCCACUCCAAAGUGUCUUCUCAUUUCUCAGCGUGUGUUCCUCUGACUGCUCUGAUGGCCGAGCUUGUGGGCAGCAUGGUGGUCGGGCCACUGCUGUCCCUGGUGAAGGAGAAGGCGUCCAGCUACCUCCUGGACCAGUACAAGGUGAUGGAGGGCAUGGAGGAGCAGCAUGAGAACCUCAAGGUCAUGCUGCCGGCCAUCCUGGAAAGGAUCACUGACGCAGAGAAGCAGGCAACCUACAGACAAGCAAUCAGACCCUGGCUUCAGAAGCU